UACGUAGGGUGCAAGCGUUGUCCGGAAUUAUUGGGCGUAAAGAGCUCGUAGGCGGUCUGUCGCGUCGGCUGUGAAAACCCGGGGCUCAACCCCGGGCCUGCAGUCGGUACGGGCAGACUAGAGUGCGGUAGGGGAGACUGGAAUUCCUGGUGUAGCGGUGAAAUGCGCAGAUAUCAGGAGGAACACCGGUGGCGAAGGCGGGUCUCUGGGCCGAUACUGACGCUGAGGAGCGAAAGCCAGGGGAGCAAACGGG
This 253-nucleotide ribosomal RNA is filed under the name uncultured bacterium. Its description in RNAcentral is "partial 16S ribosomal RNA". It matches the Rfam family "Bacterial small subunit ribosomal RNA", at positions 524 to 776 of the family's 1533-position model. The record is from RNAcentral.